Long non-coding RNA from Drosophila ficusphila, 546 nucleotides. RefSeq lists it as uncharacterized. The record is from RefSeq and is a predicted model, not a curated record. NCBI's taxonomy places the organism in Eukaryota, Metazoa, Arthropoda, Insecta, Diptera, Drosophilidae. The transcript is spliced from 2 exons.
AGCAGCUACUUACUGUCAAGAUGUGUCAUAAACACAUCAACUUUACUGUCGAAACAAAUAAAAAUAUAAACUUUGACACACACAGAAGGCAGAAGGCAGAAGGCACUCAAAGGCAACAGCAGCUAACGAAAAUCAAAGCGAAUUGGAAGAGGAGAGACGGCUUUCUGGUUUUAUUCUCUAGUCUCAGGGGAAACAAAAAUUUGAGUGCCUGGUGGAAACCGAAAUCAAUUCUGGUAGCUGACGGAAUGCGACAAUUACGGAAGACGAGUCGUUAAAAAUUAGACUAGAAAACCAACAAAAUAAAACAACAAAAAAGAAGGGAAAGUCAAAUGAGUCGCUAGUAAAACUUGUUGUGGAGUCAUUAAGGCGAAACCCUAUAAGACACUGUCCGUGAAUUCCCUUAAGUACCUGAUGUCGAAAGGCCGUAAAAUUAUCUCACUAUAAAAUUUAAAUGACUUAAAUGGUGUCCCAUUUCCACACACACCCUGUCAAUAAAUAACAGCUCCACACAAUAAAACCUUAAAACUUUUUAUGUAUUCGAGAUUA